Hibiscus syriacus is the source of this 3596-nucleotide long non-coding RNA. RefSeq lists it as uncharacterized. The record is from RefSeq and is a predicted model, not a curated record. The transcript is spliced from 3 exons. NCBI's taxonomy places the organism in Eukaryota, Viridiplantae, Streptophyta, Magnoliopsida, Malvales, Malvaceae.
AUUACGCCUUUGUUUUUAAGGAAAUUAUUUUUACUUGGUUGCUUUUUCUUCUGCUAUUUUCAGCGACUAUAGCCAACGACAGCACAGGACAGGAGGAUCUCGCAGGGUUUCAGGUGAUGGCUUCAAAGCGGAUCUUGAAGGAUCUCCAGAAGGAUCCUCCUACCUCUUGCAACGCGGGUCCUGUUGCUGAAGAAAUGUUUCAUUGGCAAGCAACUGUUAUGGGCCCUCCGGACAGUCCAUAUGCCGGUGGAGUGUUUCUAGUCACCAUUCAUUUCCCUCCAGUCUAUCCAUUUAAACCACCGAUGGUGCUUGAUUGUAUUCCCUAACCUUAGGGAUAAGAAAAAGAGGGUGCAGUUGAUGUCCUCGGGAAUCUCACCCCAUUCGAAACAAUCUCGAAGAAAAUUACAAAUCCCCGGUCUAACUAUUUCCCAAUUAUUUUGGAAUAAUGCAGCAUGGAAUCUGUCGACUCCAGAUGCUUUAUCAGCCAGCAUACCAAACAACGCCUCCUUAAUCUCCUCGUCGAGAAGCCCUCUGGAAAGGGAUGCGAUCUAGUGCUGCGGAAAUUUGAAGAAACAACCCAUGUUGCUAUUCAUCUCACCCCUUGUACCUUGAGAAGUAAACAAUUCUCGGUAGAAGUCAGCCGCUCCCUGUCGUAAUCUCGAUUGAUCAAAACACCACUCAUCAUUUGGAUAUUUGCGCGACACAACAGUAUUCCUUCUCCAAUUUUUGGCACAGGCAUGAUAGUAUUUAGUGUUCCUAUCUCCAUCCAUAAUCCAGUCACAUUUUGCCUUUUGCCUCCACAUAUUUUCUUCUUGCUCAAGAACCAGCUCCAGCUCAAUGCGAAGCCUACUCUCAAGGUCCACCAGAUGCUGCAUAUGAUGUCUCGAGAGAGUUUUGUCAAUACCCCGAAGUCUUGCUAUAAGCCGUCUCUUACGCUUCACAAUGUCGCCAAAAACUUCCUUAUUCCUUGCAGUAAAAGCAACACGAAGACUUUCAAGGUUCUGUCUCACAUCAUGCUCUACAUUCCACUAAUCCGUGAGUAGCUCCUUAAAGCCACGGUGACCUUGCCAAACCGCUAGAAAAUGGAAUGGAGGGAGGGAAUUACGGGCAGGAGCUGAUCGGAGGCAAAUCAAGGGAGGCCUAUGAUGACCCCAUCUUAUCCAGGUGAUGAACUAUCGUGUCCGGAAAAUAUCUUAGCCACCCGUCAUUAGUUAGGCAGCGAUCAAGACGCUGGUGCAGAGAACCCCUUGACCACGUAAACGGAGAUCCAUAGGACCCCCAGAUCCAAGGCUGAUUAGCCCCGGGAUCUAAAUCUGCAAGGUGUUCCCAAAGGUCUUUCCUAAUGGAAAUAUUAGGGCUGGCAUACACCACAGUAACAAACAUUCCAGAACCUAACACUGGCUCAUUGAUCAGAAUAUGAAGAAAUUGAUUGAAAUUUUAAGUACCUCAAUUGUUCGACCUCCAUAAGAGCCAUAUCCCACCACUAAAUCCUCGUGCCUCAAUACGAAAAGAAUUUUUAAACCCCAAGUGUCGAAUAACAUCAUCCGCCUUCCUCCUGCUUACCCAAGUUUCAAGUAAAGCUACCAUCGAUGGGUGAAAAUUCCCCACAAUCUGUCUAAAUUACCUCCGGUAUGUAGAGCUAGCAACGCCCUGACUAUUCCAAAUCAUAAUCGUAACCAUAGAUAAAAUAACGAAAGUCAGGGUUGAAAGUCCCCAGCCUGUCUCGCGAUGACUCCAAAGGAUCCGUUACCCCAACAUCAGUAUCUUCCAUGCACUGUUCGAAAUCCUCAACCUGAGGAAUAAUGUUUCUGCCUCCAUUGACCAAACUAUCCACCGAAUUAGUUACUGAUUGAACCCAUUCCGAUAGAAGCGGUCGAUUAGGAGCUGUGUGUCAUCUUCUUCUUAACCCGCAAUCCUCUUGAAUUACCCUCUUUACUUCCCAUACCGGAAGUUGCCUUGAGCGAAGCCACCCUUUUGCGAAUCCCGGCUCUUUUCUCUGAAUUACCUUAGUCGAUUCUGAUUGUCGUAUGAUUUCCAUCCCUUAUAGUCACCUUGGAUAUCGACACUUGAGGAUCUUUCCCUCCAACGGAAGGUACAAUAUUUAUUUGCCCAAGCUGGCCAUCAUUCACGUGGCUCCUGUUGGUAACUUCUCUCAGCGGUUUCCUGGAGCUCUCUGGACUUUUAGUGGGUAGGUUAUCAUUGUUUGAUGUGUUACGUGAGCCAUUACCUUGCUUGGUCGGACCCUUGUUUGAGGUUGCCACCCUGGUACUUUCUGGAAAUUCGUGAAAGGCCAAGAGUUUUCCCGGCAGGCUGUUCUGUUGCGACCCCCAAAGCUGGUUGUGCCCGACUCUUCCCCUCCAUAUCCAAAGACUGGAGCACUUCGAACCUUGACUUACUUUCCACAGCUGCAGACUUUUGAGGAUUAGCUGCCUUGCUCUUAUCCGAGUUCACUCUAAGUUUACGGCCAGGAGCGAUCAUCCAAGGGCCGUAUAAAUCUCCCCGCACGUUUGCAGUAACAAUACCUUUAUCCCCUCCAUUAACUUCCAUUGAACUUGGUAUACCCGUUGUUUCCCGCUGUUGUAUGCAUUGAGACAUAGUGUGCCCAUACACUCCACAUUGGAAGCAAAUGUUCUCCAAUCCCUCGUACUCUAGCCUUUACACGAAACCAUCUAUCUCGAUACAUGGAAGUAGAGGCUUUGUUAAAUCCACAGCAACUGCAAGCCUUGCAAACUUCCCUCGUUCACCCGCUCUGGUAUUGUAAAUUUGUAAUCAAUCUUUAUGACCUUGCCGAUCUCAUCAGCUAACAAUCGGAAUAGCGUCUUUGAAUAGCAACGAUAAGGGAGCUUCGACAGGCGAACCCAAACGAUUAUUUGGGACGGAUGAUUUUCUUCCGUAGAAAACCCACGGCUCCAUGGCUGAACCGUCAAGUAGCUACGGAAAAUCACUCAGGGACCCUCCGUGAGAGCUCUAGUGUAAUCCCUUUCCACUUCAAAUCGAACCAGGUAAUAGUCGUUAUCUCAGUCAAUAAGAUGAAACCGUCCUUGCGGUUGCCACAACGUUGUGAUCUUGUUCCACAAGACUUUGUAUCCUAUCGACUUCCCCAACAGCCUAACGAUUAUAGAUUUACUCAUAUUCUGAUCAAUUGCAUCGUGCAACCGAUCCGAAAAAUGAAUUCUGGGGUACGGUCCACUUCGAUCCACAGUAACGUCUCCCUCCUGAAUAAUAAUAUCCUCCUCAGGCAACUCCGGAAAAUGAGGCUGAUUCGCCAAUGCAUCCCCAGUCACCAUGGCCGCAUAGGAUUUGCUCACAACAUUCUGGUUCAUGACUUGCGGCGGCAACCGGUCUGAAUCAGACGAUGCCCCACCCUCUGUUACAUCCCCCAUAACAGUAUCUAAACCUGCAAGUGAGGAACCCUCGUUUCCAUGCAACUUCUUUGACAACGGCUCGAUGCUUCCACUAACCACAUGCGCAGUCUUAUUCUUUUUCAAGCCCGGUUGCGAAUCAACUGCCAGCGGUGAACCCAGCCUUUCUAGAGAAUGCGGGACGACCACGGGAAUCGCCGCCCCUCCGGGCGGCAGAGAGCUGACAUUCAUCCC